Long non-coding RNA from Micropterus dolomieu (smallmouth bass), 1378 nucleotides. RefSeq lists it as uncharacterized. The transcript is spliced from 4 exons. Lineage: Eukaryota; Metazoa; Chordata; Actinopteri; Centrarchiformes; Centrarchidae. The record is from RefSeq and is a predicted model, not a curated record.
GGUGUUUUUCUCAGCAUCUGCAGGAACUCUGUGUGGAAAGAUUGUAUGCAUUUGGCCUUGAUGAAAUAUCUCUAUGAUAAAUAGAAAUAUAUGAAAGAUACAAUUAUAAGAAGGUGGGUAAAAUAUUGCACCACUAGCAGGAUAAAACUGAACUUUUCUUACAAAACGAGUGAGUCAUCUUCCCAAACAUGUGCGAUCUUCGGCAUUGUGGCCUCUCAGCUCCACGUGUUCAGACAAACAGAAAAAUGAUCCAACUCAGAAAGUGCUGAAAAGGCACGUUCUUAUCUCAGCCAGGUGCAUCUUUCUGCAGGCACCAGCUCUCCUUUCAGUGGCUGGAGCCUUCAUGUGGUUUUGCUCUCCACUCAGCCUGUGGAUCCUCUGACCCUGCUGGUCUUUGGGUGACUUGUUGCAUUGAGAUGAAGGCCUGCUUCUGUUCUGCCUUUGUGAGAUGAAGAAACAGCUCCCUUCCUAAUUAUGAUAUUUCAGGAAGCCGUGGAGCAUGCUCGGUGCAGGCUGGCUACAUUUGGGCUUUAUGGGACGCCAGUGUGGAUGCCGGCGUCACUCACGUGUCGCUGCUCACCAAGGUAAACGUCUGCGCUGCAGGGAGGAGAAGAAGAGAGGGAGAAUGCAAAUAAGAGCUCUGGGCUCGGCGUCUCAGGCUCAGGAGUUUGGAAGCUACAAUCAGCAGAAGCAGAAUGGGUCACUGUUGCUAGGACAAGAAAAACAACAGCAGCAACGGCAGCUCGGACUAACUUCCUGUAGGCUACCUGCCCAGCACCGGCAGCAGACACAGUGAGGGACCAGCUGGGGAUGGAGACCAAACCAGAGUUAAACGGAGAGCGAAUAUUCCUCCGCCCUGAGGUGGCUCAAGUAAAUCCCGUAAUGCAGCUCUAAAUCACUAUGCAUUACUUGCCUUGACUGACAGGUGUCUCAGCCUAUAGUCUUUCUGGCUGCACUGAUAUGGGGUCAAAAGCAUUUUGGGACUUAAAAAUGGAGUCACACGCCAGAGAAAGUUGAAGAGUUCUUAGCACAAAGACACACCCACACACACCUGUUUUCGGUGGUAGUGUUCGUUGGCGAGCUUGUCAGUUCUUGCUCUCUGCUUUCGUCAUCCUCAAAAGGCUGAAGGUUUACAAUCUCCACAUGCUGAGGCUCCAUACCCAGGUCCAGAAUCACCACCCUAUUGCUUUCACACAGCUGAAACACAAACACACAAAGACCUUAAUUAGAAAAUGGAGAGUUUAGCAUGCUGUGCAUGGCCAUGUUGUGCAGGAAAAGACAUCUAAAGAGCAGUAUUCGUAGAAGGAAUUAGCCAGUUCUCUUUAUUCAAAGCAAACUGGAAGUCCACUUUUUUAAUCAUAGCAAUAGGAAUUGUGCU